UUCAAAUUCGUGCAGGCGGCCGAGGUCGCCGCCGCUAGGCGAUACCGCGCGGGGUCGCCGCCGAGCGACGCUAGGCCGUGGCGGGAGGGGCGCGAAGCCCUAGAGUCCGGCUGGAUUUGGAGGCUGUGGCUCUUUCCGCACCCCGGCGACCCCACCUCCGUUGAGGGUCUCGAGGGCCACGAAUACAUCGCGUGACCCUAGGGAUGCGUGGACCGCCAACAUCGCGCCAGUGCCGGCGACUCAGCCGCCGCCGCCGCGGUAGAUCCCGCCAGCGAGGACGAGGAGGCGACGACCCACCAACAAGGCACGUGCAGUUUUUCUUGUUCUUGGCUCGAUUUCUUAAAUCCAAGUGUUUGGGGAGCUUUUGGUUGGUUUGAUUCGUGCAAAGACCUGUGCUGAUGCUACUCCAUGAGUGAAUUUGAUUGAAUCAACAGGAGCACGAAGAAUCGAACCAAUUUCUUUUCGGGGAGAAAAAACUGCAUUCUUGCACGUGAUCUGAAAUUCCCGGAGUGUGAGUUCGAAUUGAGACAUGACUCUUUCGGGAUAGCUUACCAACUCCAUGGAGAUCACCUGUGCAAAGUUUGGGAGCGAUUCCUUUUGAUUUGGUCGAGUUUCAGGCAUUUUUCUCUUUAUCACGUCGUCCUCUUCCUGCUUCCUCCUCUAUUCGUUGCUCGCUGUUCUUGUCAGAUCCGGCAGAGCAAAGCUGUGGCCGGCGCGAGCAGGACGGGUAUCCAGCGAGGGAGUGUGGCAGCCACCAUCCCAUCUCCGACAUUUACGAUAUUUUGGCCGGCUGCAGCUGCUAAGCCAUUUGGCUGUAAACCUAAGCACCUGCGGUUACAAAGCAAAGACCAAACGUGCACCCGUAGUGCUGCAGCAGUACUGCCGAACAGGUAUAUUUGUAUUUCCAUUGCCUCUUCAAAUCAUUCUUUUGCCAUCAAGGGGAUUCAUUGAUGGUCCGUUGAUUUUCUAUUGGCACAGAGACAUGUAUGGAAAAAUAAUAUCUUUGAGUUAGUUAGAAGCAAGGAAAAAUGACAAGGUCCAUCUGUGUUGGAUUAUUAUGGACAUGCCUACUCAGAAACGGCCGGCGCUUAGCGAUAUCACCAACAUCCAAGACAGAGGCACUUAGCGGUAUCACCAACAUCCAAGACAAUGUGCCUUUGGUAAUGACCCUGAUGGUUGCUGGAUAAACAAUCCUGGCACACAUGCUAGCUGGGCACACAAUGUGCCUAUCAGUAGAAGGGCGGCGCACGGCGCUCCCGCGGCGGCACAGGCGGGUCGAAGCGGCGGCGUGGCGGCGUUCCGGCGAGUACACCGGCGAACGUGCAGAUGUAAAGCGAGCAUGAGCAUUGGGGACCCAUGGGGAUUCGGUUUUUAUAACUAGCUCGAGCGGAGGGAGGUCGAGGUGAGCCGGUGACGUGGAGGCGGAGCUUGGGCGGACGGUGGCAAUGUUGGCGUGGUUAUUUACUCGGGCUCCUGAUCUUAUCAUAGCCCUGUAUGUAUUUUUUUGAGUAGAAUUAUAUGGUGCUGCACUUAAAUAUGUUUAUUUUAUUAACCCGUAGCAUUAGCACGGGCCAACUUACUAGUCAAUACAAGUUCUUCAAGAAUGAGUUAAAUU
Panicum virgatum (switchgrass) is the source of this 1615-nucleotide RNA transcript. RefSeq lists it as uncharacterized. The transcript is spliced from 3 exons. NCBI's taxonomy places the organism in Eukaryota, Viridiplantae, Streptophyta, Magnoliopsida, Poales, Poaceae. The record is from RefSeq and is a predicted model, not a curated record.